Molecule: long non-coding RNA, 278 nt
Filed under: Vigna radiata
Lineage: Eukaryota; Viridiplantae; Streptophyta; Magnoliopsida; Fabales; Fabaceae
Description: long non-coding RNA (VRAD_LNC002205)
Source: RNAcentral
GACAAUUGAAAAACGUAGCAUAGAUAAGUAUAGAAGAAAGAAGAAAACACUAAAGAAUGAGAAUAAAAUAAACAAGGUUAAAACAUAAUGGUCGGCUAGUCUUAAUAUGGUCAAAUUAAAAUGGUAAUGACAAAUCAACCUUUUAAUGCUAAUUACAGUAUGAUUAGGCUGACAAAAAGGUAAAAACUCAUCAUAACUAUUAUAUAUAAAGAUUUGAGGUAUGACUUUAACAUAACAUACACAUUAUAUGCAAAUGACUCUUCAUAUAGCAAUCGAUG